GGAUUAGAUACCCUGGUAGUCCACGCCGUAAACGAUGUCAACUAGCCGUUGGGCGGUUUAUCCGCUUAGUGGCGCAGCUAACGCGAUAAGUUGACCGCCUGGGGAGUACGGUCGCAAGACUAAAACUCAAAGGAAUUGACGGGGGCCCGCACAAGCGGUGGAGCAUGUGGUUUAAUUCGAUGCAACGCGAAGAACCUUACCAGCCCUUGACAUCCUGCGAACUUUCUAGAGAUAGAUUGGUGCCUUCGGGAACGCAGUGACAGGUGCUGCAUGGCUGUCGUCAGCUCGUGCCG
RNAcentral lists this ribosomal RNA (293 nucleotides) under uncultured bacterium. Its description in RNAcentral is "partial 16S ribosomal RNA". It matches the Rfam family "Bacterial small subunit ribosomal RNA", at positions 775 to 1067 of the family's 1533-position model. The record is from RNAcentral.